RNAcentral lists this ribosomal RNA (497 nucleotides) under uncultured bacterium. RNAcentral describes it as "partial 16S ribosomal RNA". It matches the Rfam family "Bacterial small subunit ribosomal RNA", at positions 28 to 507 of the family's 1533-position model. The record is from RNAcentral.
GAAGAACGCUGGCGGCGUGCCUAAUACAUGCAAGUCGAGCGAACAGACGAUGAUCUUGCUCCUCUGACGUUAGCGGCGGACGGGUGAGUAACACGUGGAUAACCUACCUAUAUGACUGGUAUAACUUCGGGAAACCGGAGCUAAUACCGGAUAAUAUAUUGAACCGCAUGGUUCAAUAGUGAAAGACGGUUUUGCUGUCACUUAUAGAUGGAUCUGCGCCGCAUUGGCUAGUUGGUGAGGUAACGGCUUUUCAAGGCAACGAGGCGUAGCCGAACUGAGAGGGUGAUCGGCCACACUGGAACUGAGACACGGUCCAGACUCCUACGGGAGGCAGCAGUAGGGAACCUGCCGCAAUGGGCGGAAGCCUGACGGAGCGGCGCCGCGUGAGUGAUGAAGGUCUUCGGAGCGUAAAACUGUGUUAUUAGGGAAGAACAAAUGUGUAAGUAAAUAUGCCCGUCUUGACGGUACCUGAUCAGAAAGCCCCGGCUAACUACGUG